Astyanax mexicanus (Mexican tetra) is the source of this 407-nucleotide long non-coding RNA. RefSeq lists it as uncharacterized. The transcript is spliced from 2 exons. The record is from RefSeq and is a predicted model, not a curated record. Lineage: Eukaryota; Metazoa; Chordata; Actinopteri; Characiformes; Acestrorhamphidae.
UUCUUUUGUGUGUAUUUGUGACGGAGCACCGGCUCUGCAGUGAACAGUUAGAUAUGUGGUUGGGCCCAAUAAAGACUCUUUCCAGACUGGUAAGCUCUGUUACUGUUGUUACCUAAACAGUCUCUCCAACUAAACAUACUCUCUAAUCACACAUAUACUCUAACCAGGCUAACCACUGAUUUCUCUUUCUAUCUUUCUUUUAUUUCUUCUGUUUGUCUUUGUGACGGAGCACCAGCUCUGCAGUGAACAGUCAUCAACAUGUGGUGCGGCCCAAAGAUCUGGUCACACAGACUGAUCAGCCCAAUGACUUGGUGAAUGAAGAGGAGAAGCAGCAAGAAGUGGAUUUUUUUGCCAACCAGUUGCUUUACAUAUAAAAAAAGAGGAGUAAUAAAUCGAGAAAGCCCUUG